This 274-nucleotide non-coding RNA is filed under the name Cajanus cajan (pigeon pea). Its description in RNAcentral is "Bacterial small subunit ribosomal RNA". It matches the Rfam family "Bacterial small subunit ribosomal RNA", at positions 597 to 872 of the family's 1533-position model. Lineage: Eukaryota; Viridiplantae; Streptophyta; Magnoliopsida; Fabales; Fabaceae. The record is from Rfam by way of RNAcentral.
GUACUAUGAGUCAACGGUUCGAGAAAGGGAUAAAACGCCGCCUGCUGGAGUACGGUAGGGGUAGAGGGAAUUUCCAGUGGAGUGGUGAAAUGCGUAGAGAUCGGAAAGAACACUGGCGAAAGAACUCUGCUGGGCCGACACUGACACUGAGAGACGAAUGUUAGGAGAGCGAAUGGGAUUAGAUACCCCAGUAGUCCUAGCCGUAAACGAUGGAUACUAGGCGCUGCGCGUAUCGACCCGUGCAAUGCUGUAGCUAAUUCGUUAAGUAUCCCGC